RNAcentral lists this ribosomal RNA (495 nucleotides) under uncultured bacterium. RNAcentral describes it as "partial 16S ribosomal RNA". It matches the Rfam family "Bacterial small subunit ribosomal RNA", at positions 28 to 507 of the family's 1533-position model. The record is from RNAcentral.
GAUGAACGCUGGCGGCGUGCCUAAUACAUGCAAGUAGAACGCUGAAGGAGGAGCUUGCUCUUCUGGAUGAGUUGCGAACGGGUGAGUAACGCGUAGGUAACCUGCCUGGUAGCGGGGGAUAACUAUUGGAAACGAUAGCUAAUACCGCAUGACAACAGUUAUUGCAUGAUAACUGUUUAAAAGGGGCAACUGCUCCACUACCAGAUGGACCUGCGUUGUAUUAGCUAGUUGGUGAGGUAACGGCUCACCAAGGCGACGAUACAUAGCCGACCUGAGAGGGUGAUCGGCCACACUGGGACUGAGACACGGCCCAGACUCCUACGGGAGGCAGCAGUAGGGAAUCUUCGGCAAUGGACGGAAGUCUGACCGAGCAACGCCGCGUUAGUGAAGAAGGUUUUCGGAUCGUAAAGCUCUGUUGUAAGAGAAGAACGAGUGUGAGAGUGGAAAGUUCACACUGUGACGGUAUCUUACCAGAAAGGGACGGCUAACUACGUG